UGCAGGGAGGCAGAGCUGGAGGUGCCACUCCCAGGCCAAAGCCCGUGGGCACCUUCACUGGGAAUCAAAGGGAAGGACAAAACCAGGAUUUUAUCUUCACGGGGAAAAGCCUCGGCAGGAAAAAUCCUCCCUCGUUGGCAGAGUUUGGGACAACGCUCUGGAACGUGCUGGGCAGAGAGGGGAUGGUCUGUGUGGGCUGAAAAAUCAGCCUGGAUUGAGGGACAGCGAAGGAGGGUCAGCAGUGGGUACCAAGAAAUCAAAGGAUUCAGUUUGUGGAGGGAAAAGGGGUGGCAGAUGCUCUCCUGCCCCCUGAUGCUGCCGAGGACAUCGGACAGGAGAGGUUCUGCAGCAAGUGUGGAGCUCAAUUUCCACGCAUUGUUUAGCUCACUAAAGCUAAUUCGCUUUCCCACCCACUAUUUAAUUUAAUUUCCAUGCCUACCGUGGCUGGAACACAGCAUCCUCCUGUCAGAGGCCAGUAGAAAGAGCAGGUAAAGGUCAGUAACAGAGCUGGAUCAUGAGAGAAGACAACCACAUCCUCUGUGUGUCCUUGCAGGAUUUCAUUGUUUGAUCGGUGACAAGCAGAGCAAUUAAAACCGAAGAGCAGAUGUUGCAACCAAGAAUUCCACAAACUGAAGACGCUUCAUACCGACGGGUUUGAACAUUGGAAGUUUUAAAUAUUCCCUGAGGAGGUCACAAGAGUGAAGCUGGAGGAAGUUUUAAGGCUGGACAGGGCUUGGAGCAAGCUGGGGUAGUGAGGAGCUUUAGGGACCCUCCCGGUCCAUUCCAGGUUGGAAAUACGCCUGGGAAAUUCCAUUUUUGGGGGAUUUGUGGCAGGGCUCGGCGCCACUAGAUGGCAUCGGCAGCCCGCGAUUCCCCAUCCCAGCUUUUCCCCGGGAUCGAGGCCGGGAUAACUCCGGACCCGGCUUUGUGCAGCGGGAGCAUCCCACGGUACGCGGGCUGGAGCAGGCGCGGGUGGGAAAGCGGCUGGAAAAAUUCCUCUUGAGGGUUCAAAACAUCCGUGAGAGCCGCAAAAGCCGCUUGGUGGUGGCACCGCGCACUUUGCUCGCCCGGGGAAUCCAGGUGAAAUGCAAAAACAAGGAGGAAAAAGUUGUGGAAAGCCGCGCAUUCCGUAGCGGGAUGUUUGUUUGUUUUCCUGUGGGUCAGCGGAUCAUCAAGGGGUUAAAUUGUGCUCGGGUGUUUCCCAGGGAUCGCCGCUUCCCGGGAAAAGCGUUUCUGUAAAGCAAAACCCUGGCAGCAUGAACAAAUGUGUGAGUUUUUGUGUCCUCGGGUGUCAGCUCAGCUGAGAUGGGGACGAUUUAAUGAGCUCUCUGCAGGCCUGUAAACGGGGAUGUUCGGAAAAUACACGAAUUAAAUUCUCUUGUUUGCAGGGGAGAUGUCUCCAACUUCCACAAAAGUUCAGACAAACCCACGUCAGGUGUGCCGCGAGGCAGUGACUCAAAUAAAUAAGCAAAAAUAAAUUCUAUCACAGACAAGCAAUGCCACAGAAAAUAAACCAGCAGCACCCAGAGAAGUCAGGGUUAAGGGUUAGGGUCAAAUUUGAUGCCUGGGGGG
Hirundo rustica (Barn swallow) is the source of this 1572-nucleotide long non-coding RNA. RefSeq lists it as uncharacterized. Lineage: Eukaryota; Metazoa; Chordata; Aves; Passeriformes; Hirundinidae. The transcript is spliced from 4 exons. The record is from RefSeq and is a predicted model, not a curated record.